AACACUCUUAGUCAUAUGAUUUAGUUUUAGGUAGUUCUGCAAGGAGCAGGGAGUUGGACUCAAUGGUCCUUAUGGGUUCCUUCCAACUUGAGCUGUGCUGAAAUUGCAUGAAA
Molecule: long non-coding RNA, 113 nt
Organism: Aquila chrysaetos chrysaetos
Lineage: Eukaryota; Metazoa; Chordata; Aves; Accipitriformes; Accipitridae
Exons: 3
Source: RefSeq, a predicted model, not a curated record